This 427-nucleotide ribosomal RNA is filed under the name uncultured bacterium. Its description in RNAcentral is "bacterial SSU rRNA". It matches the Rfam family "Bacterial small subunit ribosomal RNA", at positions 355 to 793 of the family's 1533-position model. The record is from RNAcentral.
UUUGGAAUAUUGCACAAUGGGGGUAAACCCGUAGAUGCAGCGACGCCGCGUGGAGGACGAAGGAUCUAGGUCUGUAAACUCCUUUUGCCAGGAAAGACUUAGGACGGUACCUGGCGAAUAAGCCCCGGCUAACUACGUGCCAGCAGCCGCGGUAAGACGUAGGGGGCGAGCGUUGUCCGGAUUUACUGGGCGUAAAGAGCGCGUAGGCGGCUAGUUAAGUGAGAAGUGAAAUCUCCAGGGCUCAACCCGGGAAACUGCUUUUCAUACUGGCCAGCUGGAGGGACGCAGGGGUGACUGGAAUUCCCGGUGUAGCGGUGAAAUGCAUUGAUAUCGGGAGGAACUCCAACAGCGAAGGCAGGUCACUGGGGCUUUCCUGACGCUGAGGCGCGAAAGCGUGGGUAGCAAACAGGAUUAGAGACCCUUGUAG